UGCGAGAAGGUUAACAGAGUGUACAUCAAGAUAUGGGUAGCUGUGAACUCUUUCGAGGCUCUGUGAACUAGUGACAUAUUCAUUCGAAGUUCGCCUUUUGAGCCAAGCCGAAUCAUAUCCAAGAACUCGUAGCCGGCGCUUAAUAAACGGGCACCAACACAUUUUUCUUUUUUUACGGAUUCAGUUUUGGCGCUGCUGGUGGAUAGUGCUGAUGUUUCGUGUUUUACAAGAUUACUCAUCGUGUUUGUCUGCGCUUUUCUCUUUUUUGCUGUCUAACUCUAUUGCAAAAAUAUCGUUCGUUCGUCGUCAACACGACUAUUUCGAGCAAGCGGCCAGACGAAGCAUGCGUACCCGGGUCAAAUCCUUUUUCUGCUAUUUUAUUUUUAUUUUGCCCGUUUUUAUUUUAAAUGGCUUUUUCGUGAAAAGAAAUUUCUGGACCGUUUCUUAAAUGUUAGCGACCUCUUUCAUGACGCGUAGUAAUCCGACUUCCUCAUGUUUCUGUGCCCCGGAUUCCCGUGAACGGUGCGCAGUUAAGGAGAUUGGACGAGAGUAUCCGGCAGCCGAAGAAACUGUACAGAGAAAUAUUACGUGGCAUCCCGUAUCAGAGGACGUGAUUAUUAAGGCCAACGGCAGUUAAACUUUGAUGAACAUUUUUCAACUAAUGCGUACUACCCCAUACACUGGGCAAUACUUGAUACCAAUAAAUCCAAAUGGAGAUUA
Molecule: long non-coding RNA, 720 nt
Organism: Daphnia pulex (common water flea)
Lineage: Eukaryota; Metazoa; Arthropoda; Branchiopoda; Diplostraca; Daphniidae
Exons: 2
Source: RefSeq, a predicted model, not a curated record